AUUAUUACUUCCAUUUUGAGUUCCAAAUAUCACAUAUUAAAAAGUAAAUGGAUUUUAAAGAUUUUUAAAGAAGAAAACAAGCUUUUAAAGAUUUUUUUUCACAGUGUGGACCCUGUGCAUGAAAGGGUUAAAUGUUCUGUAAAUGUCACUUGUAAAUGUUGGGUUUUUGCUUCUUCAGGUCUGAGUGCUGUGGUGUUCUCGGUAGUUGAUUAGUUUUCCUGCAGACAGCCGACAGGGGGAGCGCUAGUGCAGCUUUUCUCUCCUAAGAGAAGAGAAGAGAGAAAACAUCUUCAAACUGUCUCUUACUGAUCUCUUCUUUACAGACACACAGUAAUUUUACUUCCUGUCAAAAAGACAACUUCCUGUAACUAUUUCCUGGAAGCAUGACAGAGUCGAUUCCUACAAAAUCAGAGUGCAGCUCGGAUGAAGAUAAAGCUGAGAAGCCGACUGAACGCUGCUCCUGAUAGGCGAGUAGCCCUUUCUUCUUUGAAUCACAGUGGAACCAGAUAGUACAGAAUAGACAUUUUCUCAUUAAUGCGUGCUUUAUCCUGGUCAGGGAUGCGGUAUAUCCGGAUUCUAUCCCGAGAAAGAACGGGAACGCACCCCGGAUGAGACACCAGUUCAUCACAGGACACCAUGCACACGCACAUUCACGCCUAAGGGCAAUGCAGCCAAUUCACCUACCGGCAUGGUUUUGGGAGACCUUACUGUUCACACUGACAGUAAUUUCAGAGGGCUCAUUUAUUAGUUUAGUCAUAGUCAGAGGUAAUUAAUUUUUUUAAUCAAAUCAAUUUUAUGCGUGUAGCAUUUUUAACAGAUGUAGAUUUACUUUGCUAAUGAACAAGCCAGAGGCGUCUGUGGGGAGGUAACAGUAACUCUGCAUCCCUUUGGACCACAUCGGACCACCCUGUCGUUGAUUAUGUUCCUAUAACAGCAUGCCCCCAAGAGUUUUCUUCAUUUCGAAGCAGACAGAAAUUUGUGACUACAUAGUAUCCAGAACAGAGAGAGCACCCCAAAUGAUCAAUAUUUUAUUUUAUUUAUUUAUCUUUUUUUGAGGAGUACCAUGAGCGAGGGAAACGCAGCUUAACAGCACUGACUCAACGCCCGGAUUUUGAAAAAUGCAAAAGUAUGUGGGGAACACUGGGUUGAGCUUUGUUUUCAGAUAAAGACAGAAGAAAGGUGGGCUUUGAUCUGUGAAAUCUCAUAUCUUUGGGCUUGUGUUGCCAAAAGACGCUCUGAAGCUCAAUCAGACGACCUGCAUGGGAAUUCCCUCCUGAUAAAAUGCACAUGAAACCAUGCAAAAACACACACUUCUCAUUCAUGCAUUUAUUUAUAUUCUUAUACACACUUAUUCUUUCUUAUAGAGACACUCAAGCACAUACUGCUGUGGAAUAAUUCCUUUUGAAAGUAACUCUAUAGCUUAUCAGAUCCUGGUUGCUUUGAGGCAGUGGGUGUGGGUGAAUGCCUACACGUAAAAUUUUCUUCAUUAUACAACAAAGAUCCUCUUCUCAUUCACAGCUGGAUGCCACACCAAUGACAGCUGCUCCUGUUUACCUUUCAUGCAUCCAUCCCACAUAUCCUGUUUCUUUUUGAGCCUCUCAUCAUUGUCCAUGGUGUAUUUACCAACACGGGUACGACCUUAUCACUCAGACUUAGUAUUUCCGAUCACACAAAGUUUCUGAACUUCUGAAAGAAUGAUGACGCGAAAGGUUGCUUUUUCUUUGAGCUCUUUGUUUGACAUUUUGGUUGUUUUCUUGUUUUGGGAAGGGGGGGCCGGAACCAGGCGAAAUGUGACUGAUAAAGGUCAGUCUUUAAGAUUAAAAGCGAAACAAGCAUCUAUUUAGUGACAGGAAAGGAGAAAAGGAUAUAUUGUGUUAUUUUUUAUGCAUUUUGUAUUUACCUCCAUACACGUGUGUGAUGGCUGUGUAUGCAAUGCUGAGGGUAUAUGUGUGUGUGGGUAUAUGCACGUCUCCACACCUAAACAGACCUCACAAGUUUCAUUUGUGCCGGUUCUCUGUCCAAAUUGGACAUUUGAUUGGGCUGAGGGAUAUGAUGUCACCACGUGGAAGUACUUUGAUGGGCAUGAGGGUACCAGGGGCAGCGAGGCAGGACAAUGAGGCAUUAUACACACCACGCCAUUGAUUUCUAUCUGCACAGGGACACCCGGGAUAGUGCAUCACUCCCUGAUGAAAGCACCCUGCACCCUUAGCACCACCUGAUUAGAACACUUCCACCACAGAACAGUGUAAACAGCCAUGAAUGACCUGACUGCAAAUGUAUUUUUUUACAUGGUCAUGCUGGUAAUAAACAUAUAAUAAACACGAAAAUAUGGUAAUAAACAUUUAGUGUAAGGUUAGAUUAAGAUUUUACUUAUAGUAUGAGCAUUUAAGUUUUUGGCGUCUUUAAAAUGUAAUGCAAGGGCUAUUGUGCAACCCUGAAGCUAGACUGCCACCUGCUGGAGAGACUCAGUCACAGUGAACAUUUAAUGAUGAUUUACUUCUGCCUGGAGCCACCUUGACCUGAGAAUCACCGGCUGCUGCUGAGGAUGGCCUCACUUGGACAGCCUAAUGACUGCACUUGCUAAAAACUAUUCUUAAGUCUCUUCAUUACACAGUGGAAAACAUCACUUGAAUUUUAUAGACUUUAAGCUAAAACUCUGCUGAAAUCAACAGUGACACUGAUGCUUAUACUGAAGAUGUUUCCAACACACAUAGCACUGCUUGACACUAUAGUAUACAAUUGUAGAAGAGUAAUGAUUUACAUUCUCACUAUCCCGUGUGACCCAGAUGAGGAUGAGUUUCCUCUCGAGUCUGGUUCCUCUCAAGGUUUCUUCCUCAUGUCAUCUCAGAGAGUUUUUCCUUGCCAUUGUUGCCUCUGGCUUGCUCAUUAGGGAUAAAUCUAUAUCUAUACCCAGAUGUCUGUAAAGCUGCUUUGUGACAAUGUACAUUGUUAAAAGCACUAUAUAAAGAAAAUUGAGUUGAAUAAUGUAUUUAUUUCGAUAGUCUUCCUUAACUCAUCAAAUUAAUGUUAGUUUUUUCAACACUAUAUAUAUAUACACACACACACACACACACACACACACACUGAUGAGCCAUAACAUUAAAUACACUUACAUU
Molecule: long non-coding RNA, 3116 nt
Organism: Pangasianodon hypophthalmus (striped catfish)
Lineage: Eukaryota; Metazoa; Chordata; Actinopteri; Siluriformes; Pangasiidae
Exons: 4
Source: RefSeq, a predicted model, not a curated record